This 253-nucleotide ribosomal RNA is filed under the name uncultured bacterium. RNAcentral describes it as "partial 16S ribosomal RNA". It matches the Rfam family "Bacterial small subunit ribosomal RNA", at positions 524 to 776 of the family's 1533-position model. The record is from RNAcentral.
UACGUAGGGUGCAAGCGUUAAUCGGAAUUACUGGGCGUAAAGCGUGCGCAGGCGGUUUUGUAAGACUGUCGUGAAAUCCCCGGGCCCAGCCUGGGAAUGGCGAUGGUGACUGCAAGGCUAGAGUUUGGCAGAGGGGGGUAGAAUUCCACGUGUAGCAGUGAAAUGCGUAGAUAUGUGGAGGAACACCGAUGGCGAAGGCAGCCCCCUGGGUCAAAACUGACGCUCAUGCACGAAAGCGUGGGGAGCAAACAGG